CCUCCCGCUCUGCGCCGUCGCCCCGCCCACACGCCGCCACCCUCGCGUCAGUUGUCGCUCCGCGCCUGCGCCCGUUGUCUCCCUGCUCGCUCCGGGUCCCGGCGCCGCGCCAUGUGGGCUGCGGCGGGCGGGCUGUGGCGCUCCCGCGCGGGUCUCCGGGCCCUGUUCCGUAGCCGCGAUGCUGCGCUAUUUCCAGGCUGCGAGCGGGGACUUCACUGCUCUGCUGUCUCCUGCAAGAACUGGCUCAAGAAAUUUGCCUCGAAAACCAAGUGGAUGAAGACCUGAUCAUUGAAGUUCACCAGUUAUUUUUCUCAAGAAUGUGAAUAACAAUGGGAUUUGCACUCAUUAUAUUUUUAGAAUGGCUUCGCAUAAUUUUCAUGCAUCCUGUGGACGAUGAACACAAAUGCAGCUGUGGCCGUGCCUGGCCUGUGUGUGUUGAACGCGUUCCUGCCGUGCGGGAGCCACCUACCCAGCGGAGCCUCAGAGUCUGAGUUCUCAAUGAGUCAACAUUUUGGGUGUGUAUGCCAAGAGGUGACACGAAACAGAAGUUGGGAUCACUGUGGUUAACCUGAGCAUGUUGGAGACCAAGGAGAGGCUGAUGUUAAUGUUGGAUUUUUGUGAAAAUGAUUCCUUUCAAAGAAAGACCUGUGACAGUUGAGCGUGUGCUGCAUCUGAGAUGCUGGCUGGGGAGCCCAGGCAGUCGACGGGAGAGGAGCGCUCACUGUCUUACUGGAAACAAGCUGUUUGGAGAACAACCUGUUUUUACUCUCCUUUUGCAAGCAAAACACUCCCACUGAGCAAUAGCGUUUAUGGCAGCAUUUAGCGGACACAGAAGCACAUCUGAAAGUGGAGAGAGACGCGUUUCCCCAUUGCUGGCCGAGUCCCACCACUUUGCUCAGCUAUGAACACCUGACAUCUCGUUUCAUUUUCAUGCAAAAUCUGGAGAUAAUUAUUAUCCACAAUUCUAAGGCCUUAGGCCCCUCCGCAUGAGCCUGCCAUUACCACUUCAUUCCCUUGCACCUGAAAGACUCC
Molecule: long non-coding RNA, 1032 nt
Filed under: Homo sapiens (human)
Lineage: Eukaryota; Metazoa; Chordata; Mammalia; Primates; Hominidae
Description: HSALNT0253873
Source: RNAcentral